AGUUCCCAAACUGCAACCUCUCCUACGUAUAUCAUGGUAGCACAGGACAACGUCCGUUCCAUGUUUAUUCGCAAGAAGGUCUAGUUUGAGUGUAGUAUCGCGUGACGACUAAAACUUGAGACAACACUCAAUUUAGCCACCGCACUACGUCCUAAAAAGGCCAAGGAUGGGUUUGGUAACUACGGUUCAUAGCAUCGUCGAACAAUUGAAAGCAAAGUGCCUAAGCAUGACAACACACGCCGAC
RNAcentral lists this long non-coding RNA (244 nucleotides) under Medicago truncatula (barrel medic). Its description in RNAcentral is "long non-coding RNA (MTRU_LNC000475)". Lineage: Eukaryota; Viridiplantae; Streptophyta; Magnoliopsida; Fabales; Fabaceae. The record is from RNAcentral.